AACACUGUAUAUAGUUCAUAGUUGAAUCUAUGAAUCAUAUUCAGUCUACAACACUAUUCAUAGUUGAAUCUAUGAAUCAUAUUCAGUCUACAACACUGUUCAUAGUUGAAUCUAUGAAUCAUAUUCAGUCUACAACUCUGUAUGUAGUUGAAUCUAUGAAUCGUAUUCAGUCUACAGCACUGUAUAUAGUUCAUAGUUGAAUCUAUGAAUCGUAUUCAGUCUACAACACUGUAUGUAGUUGAAUCUAUGAAUCAUAUUCAGUCUACAGCAGCAGUUUAAAUCAAGUCUAAUGUUAUUGGUCACAUACACGUGUUUAGCAGAUGUUAUUGCAGGUGCAGCGAAAUGCUUGUCAACACACCCCAGUUCUUUGUUUUUAAACCGUUUCAGUUGUUUGUGUUGUUUUGGUUGGUCGUCAUGGGUUACUGCUAGCCAGCCCAGUGAAGUGAAUGUUACAGACCAGACUGAGACACGUCUACUACACACACACACACACACACACACACACACACACACACACACACACACACACACACACACACACACACACACUCUCUCUCUGUGUGGUUAUAGUACAUCAUCAGACCAGACUGAGACAUGUCUACUAGCUACUACACACACACACAGACACACACACACACACUCUCUGUGUGGUUAUAGUACAUCAUCAGACCAGACUGAGACACGUCUACUACACACACACACACACACUCUGUGUGGUUAUAGUACAUCAUCAGACCAGACUGAGACAUGUCAACUAGCUACUACACACACACACACACGGAACAUCUCAGUAACAGACAUCCUCUGACGCAGCAGGUAACAGAAGUUCUGCUUCAUUCUCCGGAAAUGUUCCUGAGAUUUUGGACUGCGCCUCGUCUGUCUCCCAAAUGGCACCUUAACGUUGUGCACUAUGUAGGGAAUAGGGUGCUAUUUGGGAGGUAUGUUUUAAGUUCCACUUGUUAUGCCACAUGUUCUUAGACAAUUGCACUCACAUCUGGGGGGGGGGGGGUAAUGAAAACAUUCUAUUGCACUCACAUCUGGGGGGGGGGGGUAAUGAAAACAUUCUGUUCAGUGUUGAUGUGUAUCGACAGGAGAAGACAGAGACUAUGGAAGAGAGAGAGAGAGACGUCCUCUGAACUUCCUACACUACGGUACGCGCUGAGAGAGUGUCCAAUGUGUUGACCGUCUGAGCUUUACUCAUAUUCACUAUUAUUUUCACUGAGAGAAAAGAAAAAGCAUUUAAAACAUUCGUCAUCGUUCUGCUACGGAGACGUUCUACAUGACUUUGUUUUGAACAACGGAAGGCCCCGUCAAUAAAGCAUGUUGUUUUUAACAAAAAAUGGAA
Long non-coding RNA from Oncorhynchus nerka (sockeye salmon), 1345 nucleotides. RefSeq lists it as uncharacterized. The record is from RefSeq and is a predicted model, not a curated record. The transcript has 2 exons. Lineage: Eukaryota; Metazoa; Chordata; Actinopteri; Salmoniformes; Salmonidae.